UUUAAAUGAUGAUUGGUAAUUGUCCAGUUCUGCUACUGAAAAAGCAUGCUGAUAUUUUACCUUUGCUUACCUUUUACUGAUAA
RNAcentral lists this small nucleolar RNA (83 nucleotides) under Anaeromyces robustus. The record is from RNAcentral. Lineage: Eukaryota; Fungi; Neocallimastigomycota; Neocallimastigomycetes; Neocallimastigales; Neocallimastigaceae.